UAAAAUGGGUCCUCAUAUUACUGCUCUGCGAAAACCUGAGACCACAAUUGGGACAAGAAUACGGUUUGGUGCCGGUAUGAUAAUUGAGGAAUCCAAAAGAAGAGAAUGGAAAUCUCGCGUUGAAGAAACAGGUACUGGGUCAGAUGGCGAUAAAUCGAGAUGUCGAGAUCUCGGGAAUCCGCGAAUGGUGGUACCGGAAAGACAUAUACCUCAGCGAACCGUUCCGAUGUACUUCGAGAACCGCAGAAGGGCCACCGCCCGAGGUAUCUGAAGAUUGCGUCGUGCGAGCUUUGCAACUACGAGCUACAUUGAAGGCCUAAGAAUCUGCCAACAUUCAAGGACCAGGCGAUGCGCAAGGAAUCUUUGGCCUCCUGGACAGCACAAAGCCACAUCAGCGAAUCUCUGUGACAGCAUGGCCUCCU
Ooceraea biroi (clonal raider ant) is the source of this 422-nucleotide long non-coding RNA. RefSeq lists it as uncharacterized. The record is from RefSeq and is a predicted model, not a curated record. NCBI's taxonomy places the organism in Eukaryota, Metazoa, Arthropoda, Insecta, Hymenoptera, Formicidae.